UAACGGCUCACCAAGGCUUCGAUGGGUAGCUGGUCUGAGAGGACGAUCAGCCACACUGGGACUGAGACACGGCCCAUACUCCUACGGGAGGCAGCAGUGGGGAAUCUUGCGCAAUGCGCGAAAGCGUGACGCAGCAACGCCGCGUGGGGGAAGAAGGCUUUCGGGUUGUAAACCCCUUUCAGUUGGGACGAAGCUUCUUCGGUGAAUAGCCGAACGGAGUGACGGUACCUUCACAAGAAGCACCGGCUAACUACGUGCCAGCAGCCGCGGUAAUACGUAGGGUGCAAGCGUUGUCCGGAAUUAUUGGGCGUAAAGAGCGUGUAGGCGGCCCCAUUAGUCCGCUGUGAAAGUCCAGGGCUCAACCCUGGAAUGCCGGUGGAUACUGUGGGGCUAGAGUCCGGAAGGGGCGAGUGGAAUUCCUGGUGUAGCGGUGAAAUG
This 438-nucleotide ribosomal RNA is filed under the name uncultured Rubrobacterales bacterium. RNAcentral's name for it is "bacterial SSU rRNA". It matches the Rfam family "Bacterial small subunit ribosomal RNA", at positions 258 to 688 of the family's 1533-position model. Lineage: Bacteria; Bacillati; Actinomycetota; Rubrobacteria; Rubrobacterales. The record is from RNAcentral.